AAGAACGAGGUAGAUGAAGAGGUCUGGAAAGGCCCGCCAUAGGAGGUAACAGCCCUGUAGUCAAAACUUCGUUCUCUCCUGAGUGGAUCCUGAGUACGGCGGAACACGUGAAAUUCCGUCGGAAUCCGGGAGGACCAUCUCCCAAGGCUAAAUACUCCCUAGUGACCGAUAGUGAACCAGUACCGUGAGGGAAAGGUGAAAAGCACCCCGGAAGGGGAGUGAAAGAGAUCCUGAAACCGUGUGCCUACAAGUAGUCAGAGCCCGUUAACGGGUGAUGGCGUGCCUUUUGUAGAAUGAACCGGCGAGUUACGAUCCCGUGCAAGGUUAAGUUUGAAAAGACGGAGCCGCAGCGAAAGCGAGUCUGAAUAGGGCGCAUGAGUACGUGGUCGUAGACCCGAAACCAGGUGAUCUACCCAUGUCCAGGGUGAAGUUCAGGUAACACUGAAUGGAGGCCCGAACCCACGCACGUUGAAAAGUGCGGGGAUGAGGUGUGGGUAGGGGUGAAAUGCCAAUCGAACCUGGAGAUAGCUGGUUCUCUCCGAAAUAGCUUUAGGGCUAGCCUCAAGGUAAGAGUCUUGGAGGUAGAGCACUGAUUGGACUAGGGGCCCCUACCGGGUUACCGAAUUCAGUCAAACUCCGAAUGCCAAAGACUUAUCCUUGGGAGUCAGACUGCGAGUGAUAAGAUCCGUAGUCGAAAGGGAAACAGCCCAGACCGCCAGCUAAGGUCCCAAAGUAUACGUUAAGUGGAAAAGGAUGUGGAGUUGCUUAGACAACCAGGAUGUUGGCUUAGAAGCAGCCACCAUUUAAAGAGUGCGUAAUAGCUCACUGGUCGAGUGACUCUGCGCCGAAAAUGUACCGGGGCUAAACGUAUCACCGAAGCUGCGGACUGUUCUUGCGAACAGUGGUAGGAGAGCGUUCUAAGGGCUGUGAAGCGAGACCGGAAGGACUCGUGGAGCGCUUAGAAGUGAGAAUGCCGGUAUGAGUAGCGAAAGAGGGGUGAGAAUCCCCUCCACCGAAUGCCUAAGGUUUCCUGAGGAAGGCUCGUCCGCUCAGGGUUAGUCGGGACCUAAGCCGAGGCCGAAAGGCGUAGGCGAUGGACAACAGGUUGAUAUUCCUGUACCACCUCCU
Molecule: ribosomal RNA, 1128 nt
Filed under: Salmonella enterica
Lineage: Bacteria; Pseudomonadati; Pseudomonadota; Gammaproteobacteria; Enterobacterales; Enterobacteriaceae
Description: partial 23S ribosomal RNA
Rfam family: Bacterial large subunit ribosomal RNA
Source: RNAcentral